RNAcentral lists this long non-coding RNA (30853 nucleotides) under Citrus x clementina. RNAcentral describes it as "Citrus clementina (C. clementina) long non-coding RNA (CCLE_LNC006588)". Lineage: Eukaryota; Viridiplantae; Streptophyta; Magnoliopsida; Sapindales; Rutaceae. The record is from RNAcentral.
CAAUUUUAACAGCUCGAGCCUAACAACCAAGUAAGAUUUACAACCUAAAAUGCAUCUACUUAGCUAGGAUAGGCCAUGACUUACAAAUCGAUCGAGGGACUCACUUGUUAACGAUAUGCGAUGCUACAUACUUUAUUUUUUGAGGACCUCGCGUCCCCCUGAGGGUCAUUGGAAACAGAAUCGAACAAAAUCAUAUCAUUAACAUAUCCAUCCACAUAUCGGGUCUCGAGUUAGCUCUGAUACCAAUUUUAAUAGCUCGAACCUAACAACUAAAUAGAUACUCUUCGCUUUAGGCACACCGUCUAUCACGAUUUUGUUAUUGGGCUAAUAUAUCUACUUAGUUAAGAGAGCCCAUGACUUGUAACUCGCUAGUGAUAUCAGAUAUUAGUAUGGCCUAAUUGUAACAGCACAAGCCCAAUAACCAAGUAGAUAUUGUUUACUUUGGGUAUAUAAAGCCUCUGUCCAAACCACAAAACAACAUUUUCAUCAUUCCUAAACUAUGAACCUCUAACCUUUAGUGCUUUAUCAAUUUUUCUUAAUUGUGGAUUUUGACACUAUGCAGCCUUAAUCUUGUCAAUCAAGAUAAGCUGAACACUCAAAUGAGAUAAAACAUAAGGCUGUCUAGGAAACUAUUUCAAUACUUAUCUUUUUCAAAUUCUCAAGUAUGUGACCCUGAGCCAAGCAACUGAAGACUUCUUACUAAGAGCAUCAACCACUAUAUUCGCCUUACCAAGAUGAUAAUUAAUUAAGUAACCAUAAUCUUUCACUUGCUCUAACCAUCUCUUUUAUCUUAAAUUAUAUUCUUUAUGGGUGAACAAGUAUUUCAAACUCUUAUGAUCUCUAUAGACUUCACAAGUUUCACUAUAAAGAUAAUGUUUCCAAAUAUUUAAGGCAAAUAUCAUAGCUACUAACUUUAAAUCAUGAGUUGGAUAAUUCUGCUCAUAAUUCUUUAAUAGUCAAGAUACAUAUGAAACCAAUCUAUUAUUUAAUUCUCGAAAGCUCCUCACGCAUUUGUCACUACAUUGAAAUUUGACAUUCAUCUUAGUCAAUUUUUUAAUCAAGUUGCAAGACUAGAGAAUCCAUUAAAAAAAACUGCUUGUAAUAACUAGCCAAACCUAAAAAUCUUCUAAUCUCAGUAACAUUAGCCGGUUUUGGCCAAUUUACCAUGGCCCCAGCCUUGCCUGGAUCAACAGAGAUGCUCUCCUUAAUAACAACAUGCCCUAGAAAAACUAUUGGGUUGAGCCCAACUUACACUUCUUGAACUUUACAUAGAACUUCUUUUCUCGGAUUGUUUAAAGAACCACCCUUAAAUAUUCCUCUUUGCUCUUCUACAAUUUUAGAGUAUACCAAAAUUUCAUUGAUAAAAGCAAUGAUAAAUUGAUCAAGGAAAGACUAAAAGACUCUAUUCAUCAAGUUCAUAAAAGCCAAAAGGCAUCACACAAAACUCAUAAUGCUUAUACCAAGUUUGAAACGUUGUCUUAGGCACAUCCCUAUUCUUCACUUUUAACUGAUGUAUGUAAUGUCCCACAUCGCUAGUGAAUGAGUUCUUAGAUUGGUAAAUAUUGUUCAAACUUAUAGAACAAUUCAAGAACUCACUCCAUCGAUUUAGGAUAUUACAUAUGUGAUGGAUUGAAUGCCGAAAAUAGACAACAUCUACUUAGUUUUUGGGCUCAGGUUGUCACAAUUGCUAUUAGAGAUAACUCAUAAUCUAAUAUAUGGAUGGAUAUGAUAAUGAUAUAAUUUUAUUCUGUUUUAUUUCCAAUGACCCUCAUGAAGAUGCGAGGUCCUCAAACAAGGAAGUGUAUAAUAUCUUACUUUGCUAGGGAGUGAAUUCUUGAAUUAGUUUAUAAGUCAUAGUCUUUCUUAACUAAGUAGACAUGUUUUGGGUUACAAAGCCUAAUAAAAAACCAUGAUAGGCUAUGUGUUCAAUAUGUAUAGUAUCUACUUGGUUAUUAUGUUCAGGUUGUUACAAUUUGUACUAGAGCCAACUCGUGACCUAAUGUGUGGAUGGAUAUAUUAAUGAUAUGAUCAAUCUAUAUGCGGAUGGAUAUUUUAAUGAUAUGAUUUCAUUCCAUUCUAUUCUUAUUGUGGAUCCUGCGCCCAAUGACCCUCAGAAGGAUGCAAAAUCCUCAGUGGAGAAAGUAUGAGAUAUCCCAUAGUGCUAGUGAGUAAGUUCCUAGAUUGAUUUAUAAGUCAUGAGCUUUCCUAACUAAGUAAACACAUUUUGUGUCGCAAAGUCUAACAACAAAAUCGUGACAAGUGUGCCAAAAACAGACAAUGUUACUUGACUUUUGGUCUUAGGCUAUUAAAAUGAGCUCCUGGAUUUGUUUAUAAGUUGUGAAAUCUCCUAACUAGGUAGGUGUUUCUUGGGUUGCAAAGCUCAAUAACAAAAUCAUGACGGUUGUGCACUCAAAGCAGACAAUAUCUACUUAGUCAUUGGGCUUGGGCUAUUACAAUUAGUAUCAGAGACAACUCGUAUCCCAAUGUGUGGAUGGAUAUAAUUUUGAUUUCCGUUCUAUUUCUACUGACCCUCAUGAGGGCGCAACGUCCUCAAGAGAGAAAGUAUGCAAUAUCCCACAUCAAUAACAAGUGAAUUCCUGGACUGAUUUAUAAGUCAUGGGCUCUCCUAAUUAAGUAAAUGUGUUUUGGGUUGCAAAGCUCAAUAACAAAAUCAUGACGGGCUGUCUGCCUAAAUGAACAAUAUCUACUCGGUUGUUGAGCUCAGGCUGUUACAUAUUUUUUCAAGGGAAUUUUCCAGCUUAAAUGAUCACAAAAGAAAAUAUUAUUAUCAUCUUUUUGUCAGGAGAAUCUUCUAACUUUAUAAAAUUAUCAUUUAUUUGGUAACACACUAUAAAUUGAGAGCCAAACUUAGCGAGUGACUUUUCUUUAAGUUAAAAAUCUUAUUGUCAUGCUCAAAACUUUUUUUGUCAAAUUAUUUUGCAUAUCCAUCUAGGCAAAAGUGGUAAAUAAGGCAAAAAUGGUAAUUGACUGUGAGUAACAAAACGUAAUGACGAUAGCUUGCAGUGGCUAGGGUUUUUCUAUUCUCUUUUAAACAAAACUCACUCAUUUUACUCUUUUUAUUAUAGUUUAUACAUUCAUGUUUAUUAAGAUUCCAAUCAAAUUUAGAUCCAUUCAUAUUUCAAAUGAAAAAACAAAUGUCAUUUUUUGUAGUUAUAAAAUAAUAUUAAUAAUAACAAUAGUAAAUAAAGAGUAAUACUGCACUUUUCAAAUGGUAUCUCAAAUUUGAAUUCCAAAUUAGAAAAUCAAUCAUUCAAUAAGUAAAUAGAAAUAAUGAGAUAUUAUAGAGAACUUGUAUUCAUAAAUAAAGAGUUAUACAAUGUCUUAUAAUAACCAUAGAUUUUGAUUCAUGGUCAUAAGGAUAACCAAAAAAAAUCCCAGCCUAGCCCCACUUGGACCUAUGUAGACUCUUAUAAAAAGGUCCCAAGCGUGACCUGGUCUGAUUAUCAAUCUUAAAUUGUUAUUUUUAUUUUUCUAAAUAUUUAUAUUUUUUCUAAAUAUAUGCAUGUGUAAUUAAAAUCAAAAUUUUUCAUUUUUUAUGGAUUAAAGUAUCCUACUAAUUAUAAAGCAAUUGCAAAUAAAGAACACUUUAAGGUUGAUAAAAUGAAAGAAGCAAGAGAAUAUGGAGAGAAAGUAAGCAAAAGCAUUAAGCAUGUUAUAUGCUUCAUUUGAUUAUGUUAAAAAAUCAUAUGCCUAAUUAACAAUGAUCCAUUAGGAGUGGGCAAAUAAGUUUUCAAUUUGGGUUGUUCGGGUUUCAAUAGGUUUUCAUAUGCCUAAUUAACAAAGAUCCAUUAGGAGUGGGCAAUCAACCAAACAUAAUCACAAAUUUGGGUUCGUAAGAGCUUCUAUUUUUAUUUUUUAUCUUUUGCAAUUUUUCCAUCAACCAACCAUAAUCACAACACGAAUAAAAAAUAACGACAAAGGGUACACUGAAAAUAUAGUGAUAGUAACAUAUCAAAGUAAGAAUAAAAGUGUGAAGAUUCAAGUACAAAAAAUUUGUCAAAAUGGAAGGCUUGACGCCUUGAACUGGAACUAGAAGCCGAGCUUCCACAAACAAUGAGGCACUAGCAAUAACUCUGCAUGUAGUGGCGAGCAAGGACAACGACAAUAGUUGCAGCACGUGUGUUUGUGUGAAGAAGAAGAAGAAGAAGAAGAAUAAAGAUUAGCAGUGGUUGGUUGGCUAUAGUGUGUGUGUUUGUGUGAAGAAAAAGAAGAGGGAAGAGGACAAAGAGGAGGAUGUGACUACUUUGUGUGCUUUGGGUUAUUAUCACAUUUUGAGUUUUUUUUUUCUAUUUUGAAAUUGGAAAAUGAGAGGUGAAGGAGAUCUAGAAUUAUUGAACUAGAUUUAAAAAUUUAGGAUUUUAUUUUUUUCUUAAUUUUAAACAAUCCAAUUGAGUUUUUAAUUCGAUUCAAUUUUAACUUGAACCAAAAGAUUAACCCAGUCCAAUUGUAAAAUUCAACCUAAAGGGGAUCUAGGAUUAAUGCAAACUAAACCGAAAAUCGAAAUAAAUUUUAAGUUUAGUUUAAUUCAGGUUGAACCAAAGUGAAUUCUCACCCUUAUCGUCCAUUAUGUGGUUCUCCCUGCUUUAUCAUUUUUUUAUUUAAUUAAUGGAUAUACAUGUAGGAUCGGAGUUCUGAACUGCAAUUCUAUAUUCCACCAAUCACUGGAUCUAACACUGUUAUAGAAUUCAAUAUAGCAUUAUAAUAACUAUUUUACACUUAAACAUUAUAUGAUUAUAUUAUCCUUAAAAGUUAAGUGACUAUUUUAGCCUAGUUCAAUACCAAAAAUAUCAUAUCAUAUUUCAAUUUUGUUAAAAAAAAAUAUUUUCUUCUUCAUUUUUCUUCUUUGCCACUGGUUCUUGAAUGUUAAAGCAGUGCAGAAACAGGUGGCAAUAGCAUUAGCGUAGUGCUCCCCUGUUGAACCACGGCAUCUACUGCCAAUUUUUCUUUUUUGAGCAUUGGUCUUCUUGAUUUAAAUUUUAUUUGGUUAUUUGUGAAUAUUAUGUUUCUAAGUUUGAUUGUUAUAAACUUGAAAAUAAAUGAUUUUGUUUAAUAAAUUUGGGUUAAAUGUUUAAUGCUUGUAUUUUAUGGCCAAAAGCUAAAUAUUGUGAAGAAGUUCAAAAAUUGGGAUAAAGUAGUAGAAAUUGGAUAUUAAAAAUUAGAAGUUUUGACAGUAAGUAGCUAAGCUUAGUGAAGAAUUUGGUUGUUUGAUUGGUUAGGGAUUAGAUUUCUUACGUUCUCAGUUCAAAGUUGUCUAAGAUGAAUAUAGAUCAAGGUUUUGCAGAUUUUGGUAUUCUAGAAAUGGAAAUCAAAAUAUUUUAUUUUAUAAAAAUAAAAUCUUUCUGGAAUCAAUGAAUUGACAUUUAUGCCCUUUCCAUUUUUAAAUGGAUGAAAUGGCAUUUUUUUUAAAGUCAAAUGAUAGUUUUAUUCUUUUGACAACAUUAAUUAUCUAACGAUGUUAAAACGGUAGUGGAAGAAUGAGACAUUUUAUAAACUCCAAGUGAGUUGCUGCUAUAUAUAUACAUAUACACACACACACACACACAUACAUACACACAUCAGGUAAUCGAUGUACAAUUUUUCCUAAAGAUUUUAAAAAUAUCAGACAAAUGAAGGCCAAGCCUUAGUCAACAAUGGCUAGAAGGGCUGACCCAAUGGGUAAUUUAUAGUUUCCUCGCUUAAGGUUUGAUGCAUCUCCACUUUGAUAGAAAGUAUUAGCGCAUCUCCACUUUCCUCCCUUGCCAUUAGUAUACUGUUUAAAGGUUGAUUUGAUGAUUGAGUAAAAACCCAAAAUGCCCUUGUACCAUUAAAAUCAAAGCUAAGAAAGAUCCGCUGGGCAAUAGCUUCUUGCAAAAAUCGAUGCCAAAGUGUAUAAACAAUAUGAAAUGACAUACUAUCCUUAACAGAUAUCAAUUUGCCUUUGUUGAUCCAAAAAUCAAAAUUCAACAAAAAAAAGGCUUUUAAAAUAUUGAAGAACAUUCCCAAUAUUACCAUUGAAUCGAAACGGGUACAUUGGUAAUGAUUUUGGCUAUUUAUUCAUCACCUUAAUAUUAUCAUUCACAAGUAGUUUGCCUGAAAUUUGCAUCACAACCUGAAACUUAAAACAAAACUCAUUCACUACAAAAUCAUCUCGCCAUUCUCAUUCAUCAUCCAACUCUAUUUUUACAAAGAAUCAUCAACCAUUAAUUUCCUAAACACAAUAAUAAGCACCUAAGCAUACAUGGAAUAUCAAAGCUCAAACACUUCAAGCAAAUCAAACACAUUUUACUAUCAAAUUUGGAGGAAUUGUGUCAAUGGGAAGAUUAUUGGGUACUCAAACAGAAUGUACAAAUGUCUAAUGAGAGCUUAUCUGAAGGUUUCUGAAUCUAAUGACAAUCCACACAAGUUGUAUUAUCAUUUUACCUAGAAGAAAGGUGUGGAUAUUUUAGAUAAUGGAUGAUAAAGAUGACUAACUUUAACAAUGGAUCUAUUUUUUAAAGGGGUAUGGCAACAUUUGUGGAUCAUAAGCUGCUAAAUGCACUUCAAAUGAUGUGGAGGAGCUAAAAGAUAUGCUGAAGAAGUCGCUACAACCACUUAAGGGUUAUACUAUUAUGAAGAUAUUUAUGAUCUUAGAUGUCGUGUUUUUUAUAUUCAAUGUUUUAAUGUACCUAAUGUUAUCCUUCUAGAUUUACCAUUGUUGAAUUCAAUCUAGAAGUAUAUUAUGCCAAAUGGUAUUAUGCCUAACUGUAUUAUGCUUUUAUACACAUAUGUAGCAUGUUGACAAGAUAUGGUUGUACUAAACUCUAUUUAAGAAAAUGAAGGAAAUUUGCUCAUUUGAAACUUUAUUCAAAUAAGAGAAAACAAAUGCAUAUACAUAGAUAUCAAAUAUUAUGUAAUCCUAAGCAAAGCUUAGCUUACCAACUUAAAGUCAGAGUAUAACAACUAAGCCAAUGCUUCCAACAUAUUUUCUUAAUGAGAAAACUCAAUCAUCAGUAUAUUUUGUACUAAAAUAUCACUAACAAACAAAUAAACUAAAGACUGAAUAACCUGGACAUCAUUCUUUAAAACAUACAAAGCAAAAGAAGUAAUCUGAAUAUUUCAUUUCAGUAGCAAUAUUAGUUUAAGCAAUUAAAUCAAGUUGUACCUAUAAGUACCUAUUAAAAGCUUGUUAUGGUUAGCACUAAGAAUGGCGGCAUUGGCCUUGUCAAGCUAGUGAGUUUAACAACUUCUUACCAUACAUAAAAUACACAAAAGCUCAAACACACAUCUAAAGCUAAGUGACAAAAGAUGAUACAACGUCUUCAUCAUUUUAAUGCUUACAAUUUAAAGGUGACUCAUCAUCUAAGGAUGGAAAAAUCUAAGUUCGAAUCUAGGUUUUGCCUUUUCGCUUUUAGAACCAAAUGGCAAUUUAUGAUACCAGAUUUGGAUGUAGACCCAGAUUUUUAACUCUAGGUGUAGGCUGGGUUAAACCCAGAAAGAUCUGGGUUCUUGAAUUGUGGAUUUUAAACCCAGAUAGCUUUAUGAAAUGAAGUCAGACAAUUUUUUUUAAAUGAAUAUGUUUUUGUUUAAAGUUUAAAUAAAAUAAAAAAUAAAUCGAACUAAAAAAUCAAUUAACAUAAGUUUACAAUUCAAAUAAGUAGUCUAAAGUCUAAAAUCUUCACCAUCUUUAUAAUUUAAGGUCUUAUCAAACGAAAGCAAAUUCCCAUACUACAUGUUGACCAAGCUUUAGACUAGAUACAUAUAUGACAAACAAAGUAAUAGAGCAAGUGAUAAAUGUCUAAAUGCAUGAGCUUAGCAAGGUCUGGUCCAACAAAACCAAAUCAGCUUACUAUAAAACGACCUCAACUAACAGAAAAGCAUCAAGUGUUUACAGCUUAUAAUCUUUCAAGAUUAAUCCUCCUAGCCCUUUUGGUUUUAUCGAAGUUGAUGCAUGUUGUUGGUUUGAGUUUUGUCUAUGAAUUAACAUUCAAAUCAUGAAUAAAUUGAAAAGAUAAAUAAAUAAAUCAAGUCCGACUUCCUUUUAUGAAAUUAAUUUAUACUAACAAAGAUAAGUAAAUCAAGCUUGACAUCCAAUUGUGUUUGUAAUCUUUUUUUGUUCUUGAUUUAUAAGGCAACAAAGUAAGAUUCAAAUCGAAAAGUACAAAACUUAAACCAUUUACCUUAAAUUACCUGGCUGGCUAUUUUGCUUAAAGUUCAAACACUUCCAAUUGGGUUCGUAAUCUUCUUUUACUCUAGGUUUUGGCUAUGUAAAAGAACUUAAACCAUUAACAGAGAUGAUGAUUGAUGAUAAAUUGAUGACGAUGAUGAUUUGUAUCGAUGAAUUUGGAUGGGGUAUUUAUUAGAGUCAAAGUUUGACUAGGAAUUGAGCUAGCAGAGGGACUGCAAACCUAUGGGCUUUCCAGCUCCAACUUAAUAGUCGAGGCCUAGUUAUCUAAUGACAUACUGAAACUAUUAAGUUAAUCCCAAGUUAUUCCACUAAAAGCCUAAAGUUGCACUCUAGUAACCCAUGUAAUUGAAUAAAACCCCAACUAAUUAAAACUCCUUUUAAUUAAUUUUACUGUCUUGACCAAUAUAGCCACUUAAUUAACCCUCUAUAUGAUGCUCAUAAUUAAAGUUUGGUCGUUGAUAAAUGUUGUUUCUCUAUUAAUUACAUAUUUACCCCUAACUCACUAUUUGUUCUAAUGAUCGUUUUUAAUGUAUCUACACUUGUAAAUAAAUUUACAAAUAAAUAUUAUUGUUCAACAAACAAUUUAUUGAAUAAAUUGGGGUCAUAAAUUUAAAUAAUCAAGUACCACAAACAGUUUAGGUAAACAUCAAUAGUAUAGAUUCCAUCUUAUAAGUAUAUGUUCCUACGAUCCACAAAAUUACAUCUCCAAGCUAUCGAUGUUUUGACCAUUUAUAUGGAUCUCAUUCCAUGAUAACUCAAAAGAUAUAACACAUGAAUGCAAUUUCAUUACUGACUCAAGAUUACGGUCGAUUAAGCUUAUUAAAGCUUAUGUGAAUUAUGAUCAACGACAUUUGUUAAACUAGAUCAUAAUUCACGAUAGUCCAGUUCAAUAUGCAUAUCACAUAUACAUAUUGACUAUUCUACUCGAAGUCUCGAAUUUAGUGAUCAAGAUAAAAUCACUCACGAUAGAAGUAGAAAAGUUACAACCUUACAUAAUCAAAUGCCCAUUUCAUUAAUAGCUAUAAACAAUAUUUUAUUUAUAAAGAAUCUGUGAUUUAUAUCUUCUAGUAUUAACAAAAUAUGCCAAUACAUAAAUCACAUGCUUUACAAAUAAGGGCUAUUAAUAUAUGCUCAAUAUGAAUUGUGAAUAAAUAAGUUUUAUUAAAAUUAGAAAAUGUUAUUACAACUAAUGUUCCAAGAGCAUAAUAAUAACACUAAGUCUAACAAUCUCCCAUUUACUCUAAAGUAUAUCAGGUACUUAUCGAACUCCCAUUUCAUAUAUCUGACUCUCGAACCUCUUAGAAGGCAAGCCCUUGGUGAAUGGAUCUGCUUGAUUCUCUGUUGACGCAAUAUUAGAAACCAUGACUUCACCCUUAUGCACUAAUUCUCGUACUAGGUGAUAUUUCCUCUCAAUAUGUUUCCCUUUCUUGUGGUAUCUAAGUUCUUUUAACUGUGCACUACCCCGCUAUUAUCACAGUAAAGCACAAUAGGCAUCUUAGCACAAGGAACCACCUUAAGUUCUGUAAGGAACUUCCAAAGCCAUACAGUUUUUCUACCAACUUCUAAGGUUGCUACAUAUUUAGUUUCCAUGGUAGAGUUUACAAUACAUAAUUGUUUCACACUCCUCCAACUUAUAGCUCCACCAUAUAAGGUGGACACAUAACUAGAAAAUCUGAAUAUGUAUACCCCAUGGGUACAAGAAAUUUACUAGAGUACACAAGCAUAUAAUCUCUUGUUCUUCGAAGAUACUUAAGUAUUCGAUUUACUGCAAUCUAGUGCUCUGGUCCUGGGUUUGAUUAAUAUCCACUAACCAUACCUACAGUAAAACAAAUGCCUGGUCUAGUACACAGUAUAGUAUACAUAACACUUCCCAUUACAGAUGCAUAAAGAUACUAUCUCAUACAAUCUAUCUUUUCAUGAUUCUUAGGAGACUGAUCCUUAAAUAGACGUGAUUUAUAUCUAAAAUGAAGUAAUUCUUUCUUGGAAUCUUGUAUAGCAAACUUAACUAAAAUUUUGUCAAUGUAAGCAGCUUGGGAUAAACCUAACAUCUUGUUCUUGCAAUCUCGCAAAAGCCUAAUCCCAAUGAUGUAAUUGGCUUCUUCCAAAUCUUUCAUAUCAAAUUGGUUAGAUCAUUAAAUUUUAACUGAUAAUAGCACUCCUACAUCAUUCCCAAUGAGUAGGAUAUCAUCUACAUACAUGGCUAGAAAUACAACCAAACGACCGUCCAUCCUCUUAUAGAUACAAAGUUCAUUAUGAUUUUGAUCAAAACCAAACGAUUUGAUCAUUUGAUUAAAUUUGAUGUUCCAAGAUUUAAACGCUUAUUUUAGGCCAAAGACAGACUUCUAUAGAUUACAAACCAUAUACUUUUGGCCACUAGUUACAAAACCAUCUGGCCACAUUAUAUAUUGCUCUCAUUAAGAUUCCCAUUAAGGAAUGCAGUCUUGACAGCCAUUUGUCAAAUCUCAUAAUCAAAAUUUACAGCAAUGAAAAGAAGAAUAAGAUAGACUAGCAUGGCUACUAGCAAAAAGUNNNNNNNNNNNNNNNNNNNNNNNNNNNNNNNNNNNNNNNNNNNNNNNNNNNNNNNNNNNNNNNNNNNNNNNNNNNNNNNNNNNNNNNNNNNNNNNNNNNNGUAUACAAUCGCCCGAUGAUUAAUUUCGCAACGAGCUAGCUUUGAAGGUCUCCAUCUUGUAAACCCAUUUAUAACCAAUGGGUUUUAUCCCUUCAAGUAUUUCUACAAGCUCCCAAACUUUAUUGAAAAACGUAGAAUCUAUCUUAGAUGUCAUAGCUUUAUGCCAAUAGUCUGCAUCUACAUCAGUCCCCACUUUAUCAUAAAUAAUGGGAUCUAUUUCAUGUUUUUUAGAGACUACUUGAAAAGAUUCUCCAACCAACAUAUAUCUAGUAGGACGUUUAAUAGUCUUCCCACUAUAACGAAGCAAUAGUGGUUGUUGCUCUGUAACUGGAGUACGUUGUUUUUCAGAAUUUGGAUGUAGAAUCUCCUCACUGACUUGUUUAGGCACAAUAUUUGUAUUUCUAGACAAUUUAUUUAAAAUUAUGUUUACUGUUAGGCUUAAAAUCAUUUAUAUAAUCUUCUUCAAUAAAUGUUGCAUUUGUGCUAACAAAAACCUUCUUUUAUACAGGACUAUAGAAAAGACCUCAUCUUGUUCUUUAGCGUAGGCCUUUAAACAAACAAACUUCAAAUCUAGAUUCCAAUUUAUCUGCCUUUCCUUUUAGCACAUCUGCUAGACAACCCCAAAUGUGUAUAUGACGUAAACUUGGUUUACAUCCAUUCCACAUUUCCAAGGGUGUUUUAGGAACUGAGUUGGAUGGAACUAUGUUAAGAAGAUACAUGGUUGUUUCUAAAGCAUGGCCCCAAAACGAGAUUGGCAAAUUUGAAUAACUCAUUAUAAACCUAACCAUUUUAAAAAGUAUUAUGUUUCUCCUUUUGGCUACACCAUUUUGUUGGGAGGUCCCUGGUGUAACUAAGUGUGAUAGAUUCCCAUGUUCUGAUAAAUAAGCCCUAAACUCACUAAAGAAGUACUCACCACCUCGGUUAAAUAAAAUUGUCUUUAUGUAUGUUCUUAAUUGCCUUUCCACUUCUGCUCGAAACUUCUUGAAUUUAUCAAAAGCUUAAGACUUACAGCGCAUUAAGUAUAGAUAACCAUACAUGAAUAAUCAUCAAUGAAAGUGAUGAAAUAUUCAUAACCUCCUCUUGCUUGUGUGUUCAUAGACUCACAUACAUCAAAAUGUACCAAUUCUAACAACUCUAUUACUCUAUUUCUUUUUGCAUUAAAUGCUAUUUUAGUCAUUUUACCUUUUAAAUAAGAUUCACAGACAAGUAAUGGUUCUAAUAACCAAUGAACUAAAACGUCUAUCCCUACCUAGUCUUUGGAUCCUAUCUAGACAUAAAUGGCCUAAAUGCAAAUGCCAUAGAUACGUUUCAAUAGAAAAUAAUUUAACUUUCUUAUGGUGAUUGGAUUUGUUAUUUAAUUCUGUAUCAUGUAGAGAGUUUAUUUUAGGAUACAAGCAGUAUGAAUUGUUAAGUAAAAAAUAGCAUAUUAACCAAAUUUACUUAAUGAACUAAUUGAAAUCAAAUUUCGUUUAAGUUCCGGAACAAAUAAAUAAUCAUCUAAUAUUAAACUCCUAAAAUCAUCAAAAUAAAGAUGAACUACUCCCACUACUCUAGCUACAACAGUUACACUAGUGCCUGGCCUAAAACUGAUCUCUCCAUUACUAAGUGACUUGGUAUUCUGGAACCCCAGCAAUGAAUUGCAAUUAUGAUUAGUGGCUCUAGAAUCUACUAAAUCUAUAAAAUCAACCACUAAACAUGUCUCAAUGAAAAGAACAUUACCUGAAGAUGAAAUUGUCCCCUUAGGUUGAGAACCUUCGCUAAAUAAGUUGGACAAUUUCUCUUACAAUACCAUUUUCUGACUACAAUGAAAUCACUUUCCUUUGGGUUUCUUUUCCUUUUCUGAAUUUUUAUUACCCGUGGGUUUAAUGUCUUUUUGGAUGUAUUCUUCUUCUUUUUCCUAUUGUCCUUUUCUUUAGGAUUAGAGCCAGAAUAAGAAGAUUUGCCCUAAGUUAAAUAAACAAUUGGCGUUGGCUUUAGAAUAGUUUCUGCAACCUUGAACUUAUUAUCAAUUCUGUCAAUGUGUAAUCUUUCUUGCUCAUUGAAAGAUUGAGCUUGAAUGGUUGAGAUGAAGGAGCUAAGGUAGCUAAGACCAUAUCGCUAUGCUCUUCAGCAUUGAAAUUCCCACCCAAUUGACCAUAUCGUUCUGCUCUUCAGCAUCGAAAUUCCCACCUAAUUCCUCCACUUGUCGAAACAUUGCUAUCAUUUUCAUCAUAUGAUCUCCAAAUUGUUGAGCAUUCAUUAUCUCUUUGAUGAUAGUUAACUUCUAAGUCCUAUCCUUUCUAAUGAACAUCUCAGAUAAGCUUAACAUCAUUUCAGCAGUUGUGGGCAUGUCCUCAUGUUGCUUAGACAAGGAACUAGAGAUUAAAGCUAGUAUAUAACACCUUGCCAUCUUGUCAGACUUUUUCUACUUGCUAUAAGCAUCCUUUUUAGCUUGGGUUGCAUUGUCAUCUGGCGUUGGGGGGCAUUUUUGAGUCAAUACAAAUUUGUGUUCUUCGGCUGUGAGGACAAGAUUCCUUUUCCAAUCUAGGUAGUUAGGCCCAAUUAACUUAUUCUGGAUAAGAAUUGUUGCAAGUGGACUAGACGAUAUAUUCUUAGUUCAACAUAAACUAAAUAAAUCAUACGAGCAUAUAUACAUUUUAAAACAUGAAAGUUUAGGGUAAUAAAUAUGAAUGCAUGAAAAGCAUAAGUAGAACUCUAUAACUACUUUAAUUAUGCAUCGGUAAUCUAAUCUUGCAUUAAAUAAGCCUCUGUAGGGUGGUCAUAUUUAUCACUAAUUAGACAAGCAUACUUACAAAUUUAUUAUUACCAUCUAGUUAUUUCAUACCAAAUAAUAAUAAACUACUUAUUAAUUCAACCUCUUAGGUUUAAUUAAUAAGAACUCCGUAAGGAGGAUUUUUUUUUUUAAAUAACAAAAUUAUCACUUAAUAGAACUGAUACGACCAAAGGCCAUGAACAUCUUAGUAGGAGCAACAUCCCACAAAAUAAAAUUAUCCAAUCUAAAACCUAUAUUAAUCAUCAUAUCUGCAACAUCAUUACCCAUAUACUUGGUUAAUAAAAAUUAUUGUUUGCUAAUAUGACAUUUAAACCAAGAUUUAUAUUUUGGUUAUACAUCUACGACUAAUUACUACUUAGAUUUAAUCAAUCGGAGGAAAAUCUGCAGGAAAUUUCCCGAAAACCCGAAAGGGUAGGCAGGUCAUACAUAUACGCUAAAGCAAUCUGCUCCUACCAGCAAAUUGGUCUCUAAAAUUACCUUCAUGGCCUCUUCUUCUUCUUUUUCAUCUUGCAGAUACGAUGUCUUCCUCAGUUUUAGAGGGGAAGAUACCCGUGAUAACUUUCUAAGCCAUCUAGUUGAAGCUCUUCGUCAAAAGAAAAUCAAAUCCUUCAUUGAUAACGAAGAGCUUAGUCGAGGAGAUGGGAUUUCACCUUCCCUUUUGAAAGCAAUUAAGGAAUCAAAGAUUUCAGUCAUUAUUUUCUAAAAGAACUAUGUUGCGUCAAAAUGGUGCUUGGAUGAGCUUGUCAAGAUUCUUGAAUGCCAUGCAAAGGAUUGGCAUAUUGGUCANNNNNNNNNNNNNNNNNNNNNNNNNNNNNNNNNNNNNNNNNNNNNNNNNNNNNNNNNNNNNNNNNNNNNNNNNNNNNNNNNNNNNNNNNNNNNNNNNNNNGGAUUCUAAGAUAAUCGAGUACACACUUAACUCUUAUCUCUUUCAUGUCUCUACCUUUUCUUCAUUAUCUCUUUCGUGUCUUCGCCUUUUUUUCAUUUUGUAUCUACAAUUACUUAAAUCAUGCGUCUAAUAAUACAAUUUGUGUGGUUAAUUAGACUUCCGUAGGGAGGAUAUUAAUAAAUUUAAUUUGAGUGAAUAAUCAUUAUUUCAAUCUUUUAUAUUUCUCAAAUAAAGCAACUGUCAUAGAGCAGUCAGUUUUAAUGAGUCAUACUCAAGAUUUUAUCCUUUAAAGAAGUCUUAUCUAGUAGCCAAUUUUAAUUAAUAUCCUCCGUGGAGAGCUUAUUUAAUUUGAGGCGAGAUAUUAAUCUACUUUACUAUAGAACCAAUAAUGGAGGUUGUGGGCUUUAUGCCUAGAACCCUUUGCCACUCAACUUUUUGUUAGAGAUUUCUUUUAAUAUUCUCAAUUGAUUAUUUAAUUGACAUUCCACCAAUUAAUAUUUAAUUUUAUAAAAAAAUAAAAUAAUUAAUUAGGUUAGGUGAAUAUUAUAAUCAAUUUAAUAUUAGAUCAUGAUAUUAAUCUUAUUCUAAUCUCGUUAGACUAUUAAUAUCAAAAUUUAUGUAUAUGCAGGAACAUGUGAAUGUGGCACCCUCUUAAUCUGAAUGACAUGUUGUUCAUCCACUCAAUUAAUCGAAUAAGUAAACAACUUAGAAAAAAUCACAUUAACUUUAUGUCUAAUUUUCAUUGGGCUUCCUGUUAAUGUUCUUUUUUUCAAAUACUUGAUUAAUGAGCUAGGACUGCUUGGGUUUUAAAAUUUAUUAUUGUUCCAUUUAAUUUUAUUUUAAAAUAGCAGAACCAUAAUUUUGAAAUAACUUUGAAUAAAAUUUUUGGACCAAAAUAAAAUUUAAUAUGUUAAACUUUAAAUAUGUGUUUUAAUCCACCAAGCUCAAUUUAUAACGGACCUAAAUCUAGCAUUCGUUAAGCUUAAAAGGGGUUUAAGACUUAAAUGCAAGUCUCCUUCACCAUUCUGCCCAAAAAGCAAAUUAUUUUGAAAUUCAGGGACCAUAGUGAUAGAAAUCACCAAAUCCCAUGUCCAGCCUUUUCUUUUUCAGCCGCCGACAUCAAAACCAGCCACCAUGUGCAAAAUUCGCUGUCCAGCCGGAGCUUUGCCGUGGUCCAGCCACGCUCCUCGUCGCUGGAAGCAACCCGUGAAGCCACUGAGCUGCCUAAGGCAGCCGUAACUCUCGCGCACCGCAGCGGCUACACGCCACCAUCCCGUGACAAAACACAGCCCUCGCCGGAGCUUGAUAAGAAGCUACGCAGAACUAAUCGUGUAGCCAAGCCCAACAGCAAGUACUUGGAAUAUGCAUGGGCACGUCAUUAGCCAUGCAACCUUUGAGAUGAUGAUUUGGAGCUGACUUCUUCAAAUUAACCGUUGCUUAUUUGGAGGAGAUCUUUCAUGCAAGUAUUUGUUUUGGAAUAAUAGUCAGGUUGUUGAGAUGUUGUUAACGACUUGAUUUAGCUAGCUUUGUUCAAGCCUUGUUUCACUGCUAAGGAAAUUAAUUUUGUAUUAGACUAUAAAUAAGCUCUUUUAUUCAAUAAUAAGAUCAUCAGAUUUUUAUUCCAAAAACAUUAUUUGAGGUAGUUCUCGCCCAAAGAAGAACAAGCAAUUUACUUUGUCAAUUCUGCUAGCUUUGACUGGGACCUCUAUUAGUGGUAUCAGAGCUAGGUUAGGAUGGCAACCAACAAAGAGCGUAUCGAGCGAAUAGAAACAGAGGUCGGAGAUAUACAAGACAAGAUGCAACGGAUGGAGUUGGGGAUCAAUGACAAAUUGGCACACAUUGAGGCAACAUUAAGCAAGCUUGCGGACUCAAUUAAUACUUCAAGAGGGUCGCCAAGUAUCAACAACAAUAAUGCAUCUUCACGACUGGGCCGAGAAGUCAGUACAGGAGGGCCUCAACAUUUCCAAUCCAAGGUAGCAAAACUAGAAUUCCCUCGCUAUUCGGGCGACAACCCCACCGAAUGGUUCAAUCGUGCAAGUCAGUUCUUCGAAUACCAGGAAUCAACAGACGAUCAGAAAGUGGUUCUAGUGUCAUUCCACUUGGAGGGGGAAGCAAAUCAGUGGUGGCAGUGGCUUCGAAGGUCUUAUCAAGAUGAAGGCAAAGUCGUGACUUGGGAGGUGUUUGUGGAGGAGUUAUGGGCAAGGUUUGGACCGACAGACUGUGAAGAUUUCGACGAGGCUCUCUCACGUGUUAAACAAACCAGUACUCUCUGUGACUACCAGAAGGAAUUUGAACGACUCGGAAACCGUGUUCAAGGCUGGACACAGAAGGCACUUGUUGGCACAUUCAUGGGAGGGCUUAAACCAGAGAUAUCUGAAGAAAUUCGGCUGUUUCGACCGAGGACUCUCAAGGAAGCAAUCAGCUUGGCAAGAAUGAGAGAUGAGCAAAUGACCCGACAACGGAGACUGUUGAGAUCACCAAUCUUCAAUCGUUCACCAACGGCUCAAGUCACCAACCAACGUGCUUCACUAACAGUACCCUUUAAGAGACUUUCUUGGGAGGAGAUGCAAAAACGCAGGUCACAAGGAUUAUGUUUUAACUGUAAUGAAAAAUUCUCUGCAGGUCAUAAGUGCAUAAAGGCGCAGUUGUUAAUCUUAGAAGCGGGUGAUAACGAAGAGUCCACAGAAACAAUGCAACAUGAGUAUGAGACAGAAGAGCACGACAAACCUAAAAUAACAUUUUAUGCUUUGGCGGGUUGGGCUGCUCCUCAGACAAUGUGAGUGAAAGCUAAGAUUGGGCCACACGAGAUCAUUGUACUAGUGGACAGCGGCUCAACGCACAAUUUUAUCUACUCGCGUUUGGCUAAUAUGCUUCAGCUCCCAGUUCAACCGACAUCAGCAUUUCCAUUAAAAGUGGCCAACGGAGAGAAAGUUAUUUGCCAGGGGAAACAUGACAAGGUACAUGUUUUAAUUCAGGACAUCCCUUUUGAACUUACUCUCUACUCAUUGCCGAUUACAGGACUCGACGUGGUGCUUGGUGUCCAAUGGCUUGAAAGCUUAAGGUCGGUGGUUUGUAAUUGGAAACAAUUGACAAUGGACUUCGAUUGGGAUAAUGCUAAGCGAAGGUUGCAAGGGCUGGAUCCACAAACAAUUCAAGCUACAACAUUAUCUGAAGUCACCAAAGAUAUGAAACAAGGGCACAACAUGUUUGCUAUAUGUCUCUAUUUAAACAAUGAGGAAUCAUAUGCAGUAGCACCGGCCAGCAUGAGGAGUUUGCUAGAAGAAUAUUCCGAGCUGUUCAUGGAGCCCAAACAACUCCCACCAACACGGGAAAUCGACCACCAAAUCACUCUUAAAGAAGGAACAGAACCAAUUAAUGUGAGACCCUACUGGUACGCUUAUUUCCAAAAAGCGGAGAUUGAGAGACAAGUGAACGAAAUGUUAUCUUCCAGACUCAUUCGACCAAGCACCAGCCCCUUCUCAUCACCGGUACUCCUAGUAAAAAAAAAAUAGCAGUUGGAGGUUUUGUACGGACUACAGAGCACUCAACGAGGCCACAGUAAAAGACAGAUUUCCAAUACCAACAGUAGAAGACAUGUUAGAUGAAUUGCACGGUGCAACAUUCUUCACCAAACUAGACCUCAGAGCCGGCUACCAUCAGGUACGGCUAAACUCAUCAGAUAUAUAUAAGACGACUUUUCGCACACACAAUGGCCAUUAUGAAUAUAUGGUCAUGCCAUUCGGCUUAUGCAAUGCUCCCUCUACUUUUCAAGCAAUUAUGAAUGCUAUUUUUCGGCCCCAUCUUCGAAAAUUUAUAUUGGUAUUUUUUGACGACAUCUUGAUUUAUAGUCCCACAUGGGAAUGUCAUUUGAAACACGUUAGACAAACCUUGGAAAUUCUUAAACAGCAGUAAUUUUUCGUCAAGGCUAGCAAGUGCAAUUUUGGCCAGCAAGAACUUGAAUAUUUGGGACACAUCGUCACUUGCCAUGGUGUGAAGGUGGAUGAACGGAAAAUUGCAGCAAUGGUGUCAUGGCCAAAGCCACGGAAUAUUACAGAGCUAAGGGGAUUUUUAGGCCUAACAGGGUAUUAUCGCAAGUUCGUUUGUGGGUAUGGCCUGUUAGCCCGGCCCCUAACCAAUCUUCUUAAGAAAGGACAAUUUAGGUGGAAUACUGAAGCUGUAGCAGCAUUUGAGCAUUUGAAACUUGCCAUGACUCAAACUCCAGUACUUUCUAUGCCUAAUUUUACCGAUGUUUUUGUUAUUGAAACUGAUGCAUCCGGUGAUGGCAUAGGAGCAGUACUGCAGCAAAACGGCAAACCAAUAGCUUACAUGAGUCGAGCGUUGGGUAUAACAAAAAAGAUUUGGUUGACAUAUGCAAAAGAGAUGUUGGCAGUGGUAGAGGCGGUCAGAUUUUGGAGGCCUUAUUUAUUGGGGCAACGAUUUGUGAUACAAACAGAUAAAAAAAGCUUAAAAUAUCUCUUGGAGCAGAAGAUAGCAACUCCUGAUCAACAGCAAUGGAUGGUCAAACUCAUGGGUUACGAUUACGAAAUCCGAUACCGCCCCGGCAAGGAAAAUGCUGCUGCCGAUGCACUCUCUAGAAGAACUGACAGCCCAACUCUUAAUCAUCUUUUUGUACCGCAGGUGUCACUAUGGGGAGAAAUUAAAAAGGCUAUGCAUGAAGAUGAUUAUCUAAAGAAGAUUGCACAACAAGCUGAGACUCAACCCGACGGCCCUUACACGGCAAAAAACGGCCUCAUAUUCUUCAAAGGCAGGGUAGUAGUUCCACGGAAGAUGCGUGACUUAUUAUUAUUUGUGGCCCACAAUACGAAAAUAGGAGGGCAUUCCGGAGUCCUUCGCACUUACAAACGCCUGGCGCAGCAAUUUUACUGGCCCUCAAUGUUUCAAUCCGUUCAUGAUUAUGUAAGUAAGUGCGUUGUUUGCCAGAAGACUAAGAGUGAAACGCUGCAACCAGCAGGGCUUCUUCAACCAUUGCAUGUUCCUUGCCAAGUCUGGGAGGAUAUUUCUUUAGAUUUUAUUGAAGGGCUGCCUAAUUCACAAGGAAGAGAUACAAUAUUUGUGAUAGUCGACAGGCUCAGUAAAUUUGCACACUUCCUUUCCUUGUCUCACCCAUUUACUGCUAAAUCUAUUGCUGAAAGAUUUGUUGACGGAGUAGUAAAACUACAUGGCAUGCCCAAGAGUAUUGUAAGUGAUCGGGAUCCAAUAUUUAUUAGCAAAUUUUGGAGUGAAUUUUUUACACUGUCAGGCACACACUUGAAGAUGAGUUCAGCCUAUCAUCCGCAAACGGACGGCCAAACAGAGGUUGUUAACAGAUGUCUGGAGCAAUAUUUACGCUGCUUUGUGCACCAGUGGCCAUGCAAGUGGAACAUGUAUCUGUCGUGGGCUGAGUUUUGGUACAAUACCACUUUUCAUGUAUCCACCGGAAUGACUCCUUUUCAAGCUCUCUAUGUGGCCACGCAAGUGGAACAUGUAUCUGUCGUGGGCUGAGUUUUGGUACAAUACCACUUUUCAUGUAUCCACCGGAAUGACUCCUUUUCAAGCUCUCUAUGGCCGGCCUCUACCUUCUAUCCCCAUGUAUUCGAUCGGGUCUUCCCCGGUUCACGAAGUUGAUCACGCCUUACAGACCAGAGAUGAGUUAUUGUGGCAACUAAAAUCUAACCUUAUUGCAGCGGCUAAUCGAAUGAAACAGACGGCAGACAAGAAAAGGAGGGAUGUCGAAUUCAAAGAAGGAGACAUGGUGUACUUGCGCUUGCAUCCCUACCGGUAAUCUUCAGUUUUUAAACGUGCACAUCAAAAAUUAUGCAGCAGGUAUUUUGGACCAUAUCAAAUAAUUCAAAAAGUGGGGCAUGUAGCUUAUAAGCUCCAGUUGCCAGAGGGUGCCAAGGUCCAUUCUACAUUUCAUGUUUCAGUACUAAAAAAAGCAAUGGGAGAUUCGACAGUGAGCAGCACGGAGUUACCUCCUACAGAUGAUGAAGGUGUGCUGGAUUUGGAACCUAAAUUAGUUCUGGACACUCGGUGGCUUAAAAGAGGUGGUAAUGUUAUUGAGCAAAGUCUGAUUCAAUGGAACAAUCUACCAAUGGAAGAGGCCACUUGGGAAGAUACUACCGUCAUUAAGCAACAGUUUCCUUCGCUGACCUUGAGGACAAGGGUCCUCUUCCACGGGGGAGUGAUGAUAAGAAGCUACGCAGAACUAAUCGUGUAGCCAAGCCCAACAACAAGUACAUGGAAUAUGCAUGGGCACGUCAUUAGCCAUGCAACCUUUGAGAUGAUGAUUUGGAGUUGACUUCUUCAAAUUAUUCGUUGCUAGGAAUAUGCAUGGGCACGUCAUUAGCCAUGCAACCUUUGAGAUGAUGAUUUGGAGUUGACUUCUUCAAAUUAUUCGUUGCUAAGAAUAUGCAUGGGCACGUCAUUAGCCAUGAAACGUUUGAGGUGAUGAUCUAGAGCUAACUUCUUCAAAUUAACCGUUGCUUAUUUGGAGGAGAUCUUUCAUGCAAGUAUUUGUUUUGGAAUAAUAGUCAGGUUGUUGGGAUGUUGUUAACGAAUUGAUUUAGCUACCUAUGUUCAAGCCUUGUUUCACAGCUAAGGAAAUUGGUUUUGUAUUAGACUAUAAAUAAGCUCUUUUAUUCAAUAAUAAGAUCAUCAGAUUUUUAUUCCAAAAACAUUAUUUGAGGUAGUUCUCGCCCAAAGAAGAACAAGCAAUUUACUUUGUCAAUUCUACUAGUUUUGACUAGGACCUCUAUUAGAGCUUUACAUUGCCGUCCUCACACGGUGCACCACAUCAUCCAUCACUGCCAGCAGCUCAAGCCACCAGCCCGCGAGCAGACGCGCGAGAGAGCCAGUCAUCAGUGUCACCACUCCCGAGCACAAAUUGCUCCACUGCCGCACACAAUUUUCGCUGCUGGCUAUCCGUGGUAACGCCGGCGACAUUGCGGCUCUGUGCAUAUGUUGACUUUGUUGUUCUUGUUCUAGGUUUUUAAAUAUUAAUUUUUUUUAUUAAGUAGAAACAGAAUUAAAACCCAAAACUGAACAAGAACCAAUACGAGCAUUAACCAUGGAACAGAGCAAACUACAAGUUAUAAUUGAAUAUAAAUAACAGCAUAAAGAUUAAUGCGGCACCACAAUCUAUUACAAUCAUACAUAAAAUUAAAUGAUACAUGUAUGAUGAAUUAGGAUGGUUAUGAUAUGAUCUUAGAAAAAUAAUUUUUUUAUUUUAUAAAAUAAGCAGAAGCCAGGAAUUUUUCUUAAUUAUGUGUACAUUUGUAGGAUAAGAGAAAUACCUUAGAUUUCUGCUGAAGAACUAAAGAAGAAGAUUGCAAUCUUCUCUCCUAUACUCAAUUUGUUUGCAAUCUUCUCUAUUAUAUUGAAUUAUCUCCCUCACACGUGUGGGUGUAUAAAAAAUCGUAAUUUGUGUGCCGAACAUGGAAAUCUUAGAACUGUAUUUUUCUUAAUUAAAAAGGUUAUACUUUUAUUCUGAAUUCAACUUUUUUAUAUAGAGUUAGUUUGAUUAGAAAUUGAGUUAGUAAAGGGACUGCAGAGCGAAACUUAAUAGUCAAGGGCUAGUCAGCUCAUGACAAACCGAAACUACUAAGUUAAUCUUAAACUAUUCCAUUAAAAGCUUAAAAUUGCACUCUACAAACUCAUGUAAUUAAAUAAAAACUCAACUAAUUAAAACUCCUUUUAAUUAAUUUUAGUUUUAGUCUUUAAACCAAUAAUAGCCACUUAAUUAACCCUCUAUAUGAUACUUAUAAUUAAAGUUAGGACGUUAAUAAAUGUCGUGCCUCCAUUAAUUACAUAUUUACCCCUAACUCACUAUUUGUUCUAAUGAUCACUUUUAAUAUAUCUAUAUUUUUAAAUAAAUUUAUAAAUCAAAAUUAUUAUUCAACAAACAAUUUAUUGAAUAAACUACAGCCACAUAUUUAAAUGAUCAAGUAUCACAAACAGUUUAGGUGAGUAUCAAUAAUAUAGAUUCCAUCUUGUAAGUAUAUGUUCUUACGAUCCAAGAAAUUACAUUUCCAAGCUAUUGAGUUUUUGACUGUUUAUAUGGAUAUCACUCUGUGAUAACUCAAAAGAUAUGACACAUGAAUGCAAGUUCAUUACCGACUCAGGGUUAAGGUCGAUUAAACUUAUUAAAGCUUUUGUAAAUUAUGGUCAACGACAUUUGUUAAAUUAGAUUAUAAUUCACUAUAGUCUGGUUCAAUAUGCACAUUGCAUAUACAUAUUAACUAUUCUACUAAAAGUCUCCACUUCAGUGAUCAAGAUAAAAUCACUCAUAUAGAAGUAGAAAAGUUACAGCAUUACAUAAUCAUAUGCCCAUUUCAUUAAUAGCUGUGAACAAUAUUUUAUUUAUAAAGAACCUAUGAUAUAUAUCUUCUAGUAUUGACAUUAUAUGCCAAUGCAUAAAUCACAUACUUUAUAAAUAAGGGCUAAUAAUAAAUGCUUAAUAUGAAUUAUAAAUAAAUAUGUUUUAUUAAAAAUAAAAAAUAUUAUCACAACUAAUUCUUUAAGAGCAUAAUAAUUACACUAAGUCUAACGUAUACAACUGGAAUUUGAUGUGUGCUACAUGAUUGAUGCUCUAUAACUCUGAUAUAUGAUUAUGGAAUUCAGUUGAGUUGGAGCUCUACAUCCUUUCCAAAAUGAGAACUUCAAAGACAAACAAAGGAACUUCUCCUUGAAGUUGGCAUCAAUAUGCCAACAACAAUACCUCCUCAAUGAAUCAGGGAAGAUCAUCUCCAACACCCUCAAACAACAAUUUUGUUUAUCACUCAUAAAACACAGGCCCGUACCACAUUACAACCUAUUUGCACAUACAUUGCUCAUACAACCUCUUUAAAGAACACAUCCAUGACUCUAUGAUUUCAAUUUUUACAAUACACAUACCAAGUGAAUAGAUACCGUAAAUUGGCAUUAAUAUUAAUAGCAAUCAACAAUAUGUUGUUGUAUAGACCCUUUGAAAACAAACCCUUAAUAUAAAUGCCAUCAAUUCUUAUAAAUUUUCUACAUCAUUCAAAUAAUCCUCUUAUAUUUGCAUCAAAUAUCGCAAAAAACCUCCUAAAAAUUAGGGUACUAACCACCAACUAAUCAAUCUCUAUCUAAUGAAACAAUUGACCCGAUUAAAGUCCAAUAUUGCAUGAAUAUACCUGAAUAACUUAUUGUAGCUUGCCUUAUGAUCCUUUCCCAACAGCUCUAAUGAUUUGUUCUUUGCACUGUAGAGCCUUGUAUUAUAGCAUUUGAUCCCAAUUUAGCAGUUAUAAUAUCUACGGUAAUUUGGUUUUUGCCUUUGACUAGAUGAAGAAAUAUCAUAGCAAUCCAAGUAGAAAUAGCUUUAUGAUCGUUUUUGUUUCUUAAGCAUUUGCUUAGGUUGGAAAGACUUGAUCUAGAAGUGCCUUUUAUUCUAAUUAGGGUUGGCUCAUAUUCUCUAUAUGUUGCCUAUAGUUGCACGUUUUAGGGUGACCAUUGGCUUUUCAAUUUUUAUCCUUUGUAGCCUAAAACUAUUUUGAAUUGCAAAUGCCUUGAUUGUUUUUUUAACUCAUCAGUGUGUUUGUAUAGUUGACCGACCUCUAAGUUAAUUUUCAUUCUAUCUCUGCUGAACACAAACCCCCUGAAUUUUCCUCAUAUUUGUUAUAAGCUUCCCUUGCAUCAUCCUCAGAUUGGCAUUUGAUUCAGCUCUACUGUCAUUUCUUGACCAAUUGUCAUCAAGACUAAUGGUCCAUCCAUCAUUAAUAUAAUUUGCAAGAUCAAAUCCACCAACACCUCAGUGUCCCUUUUGUAAUCUCCAUCUUCUAGUGCAUCCACAACUUCACCAUUGGAAUCUUCAACAAUUGGUUGCUCAUGAAAUGAGCCUUGAAGUAUUUUAAGUGUAGCAUGUAGAUCGUCAUUAAGGUCUAGCACAACAAACACAUUUAAAUAUGCAAAAUCAAAUUGCUCAUUGAAAUGAGCAGGAAUUUGAUCUUUAGGCGAUAUCAAGUUUCAUCCUUCUCUCCAAUAACAACUUCAUUUGCUUGUUUAGAUGUAUUUGAUGCACAAUCCAACGUACUUGUAACUAUGAAAAAUGCCUAUUUAUAAGGCUUUUCCCUUAAUUACUUAAAAGCAUCUUGGAGAUUUGAGUGUAGCUGCAAAUCAAUAUUUCUUGUCUCCGAUGGUAGCAUAACCUUAAAUUUCACUUCUUUGACUUGUCUAACUAGACUGUCAAAAUAAAUAUCCUUGAUAUCUUCCCAAAAUUUCUUCAGACUAUAUUGUUCUAAAAUUAUUGACCAUCAACCACUACUUCUAUAUCCAUGUAUAUGAGGGUGUAAAAAGACAAACAUAUCCAUUCAGUAAAAGCAAUUGUCACAAUUACUAAUAUAUUGCUUAUAAUAUCAACACAACUCAACAAUGCAUAGUUUCUUUACAUAUACUAUUAUGUCAACUUUACUCGAGUCAAUACUCUAAUAACUAUACUGUCAAUUUCAAAUUUAGUGCAUUGCAUAUAUCUCAUAUAAUUCAAUAAACGUUAUGAGCACCACAAACAUUCUGAGUAUGUUGUAUCAUUUUCUCAACCUUUGCGAAACUCCAUCAAACACAAACAUUUGAUACUUGCAAAAUUCAUACCAUCACCAAAUAUAAAACCAACACAAUCACUGCAGCAACUAAGCAUAUAUACUAAACAAAUGCCAAAAAAAAAAAAAAAAGCAGAACUCCAUUAACUUAGCUUUUGACAAAUGCAUGCGAAAUUCAUAUUAUCACCUAAAAUCAAACCAACACAAUCAUUGCAGCAACUACGCAUAUAUACCAAACAAAUAUCGUAAAAUCUAUAACUCAAUAAACCUAGUAUCCAACAAAUGCAUACAAAAUUCAUGUUAUCACCUCAUCUUUAGCUUAAAAAAAAUACACAGAAGGGGGAAGCUACAAUUACUUGUCUUGUGGCUCUAAUGCAAGUGGAUGGUAUCUAGGUUGUUGUCGGUAUUUGCUUAUGGUAAUCUAUUCAACUGCAUUUAUUGAAUUUGUCCUGCUUGUUAUUGAUUAAGAUUAAUUCAUGUUCAUCCUAUUAAUAGCAAUUUCAAAUUUCUUCAAACCACUUGCAAGUAAUUGAAAGGGGUUAUGAGAUUUUUUGCGGCUUCAAUUUGUGUAGAUGAAAGAGAAGAGCAUGGCUUUUGUUUUGAGUAAAAACACAAUAGAUAAAAGGAUGCAUUUGUUACUAUUCAAUGGGAAUUAGAUUGUUUCAAUGAGUUCAUAUUUCCCAAAGUAAAAACUCUUAAAUUUAAAUUUAUCCAAAUAUUUAAUCAAUAAAUUAUGCAAUUACUAACUUGCUCUCUGUGGCUAAUCUUAUACGAAACAACAUACUAACGAUAAAAGAGAAAAAUAGAGAUAUGCUAAUACUUUCUAGGGAAAUUAUCAGCCAUAUACCCUUAAAUGACACCCGUAUCAAACGUGUGUGAACACUUUUCAAGUAUAUCACUCGUAUACCCUAAGUUGACAAAACACUUCUGCCGUCCAUCAAUCCUUUAACUUCCGUUAGAAAGUUAACAGAAUUAUGGCCAAUUGACUAUUUUACCCUGAAACUCAAAAUGAGGUAAAAAGAUAAAUUUACCCCAAAAAUUAAUGUAAAUUUUCAAUACGUAAUUUUUUUAUUUUGUUAUUAACAAUACAUUUUUUUGAUUAAAAAAAUAAAUUAUUAAUGGUACAUAUUAUUAACAAUUAUCCAUAAAAAAAUAUCCAUAUUAUACCAUAAAAAAUUAUUAACAACAUAUUAUUUACAAUUAUACAUAUUAUACCAUAAAAAUUUUCAGUUGGAACUUGGAGGAGUAGAUCUUAAAAAAUUUAGGUUAAAUUUUGGAGGAGUAGAUUCGGUUGUAAAAUAGUUUUUUUAGCAACUAUUAAUAAUUAUUUGAUAAAUGGGAUGACAGGUCAUUUUUAUCAAUAUAUAUCAUAUGAUAUUUCAUUUUUUACUAGGUAAAUGAGAUGACAUAUCAUUUUUUUAAAUCAAAAUUUCAUCAAUUUUAAAAGACUAAAUUAUCCUUAUGAUGUCAGCGCUUGCAAACGGAAGUUAACGAAUGGGUGGACGGCAGAUGUAUUUUGUCAACUUAGGAUAUACGAAUGAUACACUUGAAAAAUAUUCACACACGUUUGAUACGGGUGUUAUUUAAAAAUAUGUGACUGAUAAUUUUUCAACUUUAUAUAAAAGUGGAGAUAUACUAAAACUCAAGUAAGGACCCAAUUGCCAUUAUUGAAUAAGCAGCUUUAGGACUCGUAAGGCGCAAGUUCGUUAAAAUUUUCGAAAACAGAAGUAAGGGCACGUAAGUAAAUAUAAGGGAUAACAAAGGGCUUAAUGUUUAAGCCAAUGGCUGCCGGCAACAAUGUCGCUGCCUAAUUGCCAAAAGUUGACCAAUCAAAAAAUACAUAUUUUCACGACUCAACGUAAGGGCAACUUCAAUCCUCGGUUUAAAAAGAAGGGAUGGGUUUCAAUUAAGCCCAAAUUGAUAAAUAAAUAAAAUAAAACAAAAACGUGUCUUUCAGUAAAAUUAAUAUUUGAACAACCGCUCCCUUAUAAAUUCUUUGUAAAAAUAAAACGUCCAAAACAAGGAAGGAGGCAGCAUUUGUCCGCUUUCGUUUCAACAAAUUAUUACUGAAUUAAACAUUUGCUUGCAUUUAAAAUACUUCUUGGGAUAUUUCCAAACAAGUUAACAGAAAAGAGAAACAAUCCUCUUCUCUUCUGAUUUCAGGACUAAAAUUAGAGGACUAAUUAAAUUAAUCCAUAUUUCAAGUCCCAGCCGCCGGCCAGCUAUUUUUCUUUACGCCCAGGUCAAGUUUCUACAUCUUUAUCUUUUAUCUUCUUUUUUUUUUUUUUGGGUUCCUUCAUUGUGUGAUGGGAAUUGUAAAUCAUGUAGCUGCUGACCUUUUUGGUCUUUGAUAGCCUGAUGCUUAUUAAUUGAAUUAUCUUAUAAUGAUUUGUUUCUCCCGUUUAUAGUUGUGUUUUUUGUUUUUUUAACACUUAUGGAGUUUCUUUUAUUAACUGAAUCGUGUUUUAGCUAAUUGAUUUAAGCAAUAUGGGUUGAGAUGGAAAUCAACCAUAAAAGGAAAUAAUAAAAAGAAAGGAGAAUAAUCUCUCUUUUUUUGUCUCAAAAUGAAAAUAGUUUUUGAAAAAACAAUUUGAGAAAAUGAAACGAUUCCAGUUAAGAGGGACUGUAAAUCAUUAUUUUGCAAGAGCUAGUUAAGAUUUUACACUCAUUAGCAGUUAGAUUCCUGACUGGUCGGUCAUAUAUUUUCCUUUGUUAUACCUGGAUUCUGGAUCGAGUAGCUGCUUAGGGUUGACAUAUAAUCUGAAAAUUGAAGACUGAAAUGGUCGUUAACUUUGAAGCAUGAUAUUUUUGCAGGUUGGAAUUUAGCUGAGGUCAUCGGGACAGACACAUUGGAUCCGGCACACCAUGGACCAAAGUAUUCAACCUUUCUUGCCUAUGAGUGUUUACUUACUUUUUUUUAAUAAAUAACUGCAUGUUAUUACACUGAUUAAUUUGGAAACUGAGUAAUAUCUGAUUUAUUGUCUAGUCUUCAGCAUCUUUGAGAUGGUAAUAGUUGAAGGAAAUGGGUAUUUUUUUUUUUUGACAGUAGAUUUUCUAAACAACAAUUUUUUGACCUUCUUGGUGUCACAGGUACUAAUAUCGGUGAGACAGAGGGUUUAAAAACUGGCCUUGAGUUGGUAAAAUCAGUUUCUGAUAAGCAUCUUGAUCUUUUGAGGCCAUCUGCUCGAUAUUCAAUAUCUAAAGGUAAUGAACCUUCUAGUUGUUUCUUUCCAAGUCAAAAAUUAGAUCAACAUCAUCCUUAUUUGCCUGUUUCAUUUUCCAUCUGUUAAUUCUUGUAUUUCUCCAUGAUUUUCCAUUUGUAUAGCUCCCUCCACUGAAUUGAAAAUCUUGGAAUCAAUGCAGAGUGUUGUCAUAUUAGAGAGUCCUAUAUGUGUGAAGCCACCUAGACUCUGUUGUAUUAUUCUAGAGAUGAAUUGUUUUUUUGCUUUGAAUGGAAAGACGUCAAUAUUUGUUUGUUUUGUGAUAUUUUCCCAUAAAAAUCUAGCUUAAUAUCUUCUCUGCAUGUAAUGAAAAUGCAUCUGCACCAGAGAGCUCCUUUUUCCCCUUUCAAUUGCAUUGAUCUUACUGAAUUCUGCUUCUUUUUUGUUUAUUUUAUUCCCUGUCUACACUUAGAAUUUCAUUAAUUUGCUCCAAUGGUCUAUUAAAGCCCUUAUUUUUCUUGAUCUUACACAUCUUUAUAGCAUCUUGUGCAUUUUAUUAAAUGCUUGUUUAAGUGUACUGAGAGAAACUUUUGUAAUGGUGAGGAAAGCACCAGAUACUGCUGAUCGUGAAAAAGGGAGAUAUACCCUUAUUAGAGAUCCGGAGGACUUCCAAUUUGGGAUUUAUGACAAACCCCUCCCGUGCUUUGGCUGUGGGGUUGGGUGGUUUUCGUGAGUAUUUUUUAUUCAUUUUCCUAUCCGAACCUAAUUAUUGCGGUCUCAUAUUUGUAUCUUUUGUCGCAGUUUUCUCCUGGGUUUUGUGUUUCCGCUGAUGUGGUACUAUGGAACAUUCCUUUAUUUUGGAAAUCACUGCCGCAAAGAUCCUAGGGAGCGAGCAGGCCUGGCUGCUUCUGCAAUUGCUGUGAGUUCUCUCUCAUGUUAACGCUCGGCUAUUAUCACAUCUAAUCAUCGAUUUAGAAUAGUGGAUUCUUAUUAUACUUUUCUUGCACCCAUUCCUGUGAUGUAGCACUGGCAUCUUCAAUGGCGUAGUUAUUUAUAUACUUUAUUGUUAUUGCAGGCAAUGGCAUGUUCUGUUGUGAUGUUGGUCAUAGUGGUGUUUCGACUAAUGUAAUCUUGUUUCCAAUUCCAAGCCUCCUCCAAAACUUGCAAGUGAAUAGAGAUGAGAGUUGAAUGUAGAUAACAUUGUACGUUCAAGCACAAAGAAAAUGGUAGCAUUUGAGAUGAACAGUUAUUCGUGAAACUAAACCUUCUGGUCUCAGCAGUUGAGGUUCCUUGGAGGCAUGUAUAUUAAGCGAAUGUUUCAGUUUACACUUCUCAGGAAGUUACACAAGAUUCGUUAUAGCCUUGGUAGAUAGGUGAAAUUUCAAAACCUGCAUUUCAUUGUGACAUCGAUGAAUCAUAAACUGAAAUAUUUCAGCUGAUAUAUACAGUCUGGGUGCCUUUAUCUCAAUCUCAUGCAGAUCCGGACUAUACUGUGAAAUUGUGGUUAGCGAUACGGCCCGACCCAUCAAAGAAAGGCCAUGCAAGCUUGUGCGGGUAUUGUGCCAUGCCCACCAUGUGCUAUGUGCCGUGCCGUGUUGUCUAUUUUUCUUUUUUUAAGUUAGGCUUGGCCUGGAACAUGCGCUGUUCCCACACAUGCCGCGAGCCAAGCUAGGCUGUGUCAUGCCUUGGCUAAGAAAAAACCGUAAGACAAGUUUUUUUCUUUUUCUUUUUUAAUUUUUUUAAGAGAGCAUGCCAAGUUAUUAGCAUAUUUUUUUCAAGUCUAUGUAUAUUUUUUGGGUUUACAUGUCUUUAGUCAAAUUCAAUAGAAUUAAAAAUUCAGAAUUCAAGUUCAUAUUCAAUAAUAAUAAACUAAUAAUAGUAAGAGAAUGUAAUGCUAGCUAGGGGUAGGCAAAAUAUUCGACCUGAACCGAAAAUUUUCGAGUUCGGAUCGAAUGAAUAAAACUCGAUUGGGUGCAUUUGUGUCAACCCGAUUGGAUCGUGAACUGUAAAGUGUGAACCACUAAGGCUAAACAAGCAACUAAACUCCAAAUUUUACACACCACACACACAAACCAUUACAAACAAACACUGCCAUUAACAAUAGCAGCACACGACACAAGCACUCAAGCAACUAGCCCAUUACCGACUGGCAACAUACACGACCACACCUACCCACAGGCUCUGUUGCUCGCAUCCCACUACCGACAGGCGAUAGCCACACGGCCCACACCCAAAUCCAAACAAAUGAAACACAAACAGUAAAAUACACAAAGUUCACAGAGCAAGCUUCAUCCAGUCACCAUACACAUCAAUCGCCGCCAAGAAUGACAAACUGAAGCUGAUUCACGAGGAUCAUGACCCAAUCUACCGAUCUACUGUUACCAAGCAUCGGAUUGGUUGCGCCACCUCCACGCCUCCAAGCCUCCAAUCCUCCACUCCACCAUCACCCGAUCUGAUUAAAGCUCCAUCUGGCAAGCUACCUUCGAUUCAAGCUCCAUUUGGCUGUUAACUUUGAGUUUUGGAAGCCUUGGCCUUUGAUACUUAAUAGUGAUGGUAUAUAUAUAUAUAUAUAUUAUAUGUUAUAUGUGAAAGUGAAAUGUUAAUUGUAAUUUGGUAUGUUAAUAAUAUGUAAUUAUAUAUUGUUAAAUUUUAACAAUAAAAUGAAAAAAGACCAGGCAUUGGUUUUUUUU